UACGUAGGGGGCAAGCGUUGUCCGGAAUCAUUGGACGUAAAGCGCGUGUAGGCGGCUCGGUAAGUCUGCUGUGAAAGUCCAGGGCUCAACCCUGGGAUGCCGGUGGAUACUGUCGAGCUCGAGUCCGGAAGAGGCGAGUGGAAUUCCUGGUGUAGCGGUGAAAUGCGCAGAUAUCAGGAGGAACACCAAUGGCGAAGGCAGCUCGCUGGGACGUGACUGACGCUGAGACGCGAAAGCGUGGGGAGCAAACAGG
This 253-nucleotide ribosomal RNA is filed under the name uncultured bacterium. RNAcentral's name for it is "partial 16S ribosomal RNA". It matches the Rfam family "Bacterial small subunit ribosomal RNA", at positions 524 to 776 of the family's 1533-position model. The record is from RNAcentral.